Molecule: non-coding RNA, 45 nt
Organism: Schistosoma margrebowiei
Lineage: Eukaryota; Metazoa; Platyhelminthes; Trematoda; Strigeidida; Schistosomatidae
Source: Rfam
ACCUUGCUGACGAGUGCCAAACAGCACGAAAUCCGGGUCCAGGGU